Molecule: ribosomal RNA, 430 nt
Filed under: Acinetobacter sp.
Lineage: Bacteria; Pseudomonadati; Pseudomonadota; Gammaproteobacteria; Moraxellales; Moraxellaceae
Also listed under: 8 other names
Description: bacterial SSU rRNA
Rfam family: Bacterial small subunit ribosomal RNA
Source: RNAcentral
UGGGGAAUAUUGGACAAUGGGCGCAAGCCUGAUCCAGCCAUGCCGCGUGUGUGAAGAAGGCCUUUUGGUUGUAAAGCACUUUAAGCGAGGAGGAGGCUACUUGGAUUAAUACUCUAGGAUAGUGGACGUUACUCGCAGAAUAAGCACCGGCUAACUCUGUGCCAGCAGCCGCGGUAAUACAGAGGGUGCGAGCGUUAAUCGGAUUUACUGGGCGUAAAGCGUGCGUAGGCGGCUUUUUAAGUCGGAUGUGAAAUCCCUGAGCUUAACUUAGGAAUUGCAUUCGAUACUGGGAAGCUAGAGUAUGGGAGAGGAUGGUAGAAUUCCAGGUGUAGCGGUGAAAUGCGUAGAGAUCUGGAGGAAUACCGAUGGCGAAGGCAGCCAUCUGGCCUAAUACUGACGCUGAGGUACGAAAGCAUGGGGAGCAAACAGG